UACGUAGGGUGCAAGCGUUGUCCGGAAUUAUUGGGCGUAAAGAGCUCGUAGGCGGUUUGUUGCGUCGGCUGUGAAAUCCCGAGGCUCAACCUCGGGUCUGCAGUCGAUACGAGCAAACUAGAGUGUUGCAGGGGAGACUGGAAUUCCUGGUGUAGCGGUGAAAUGCGCAGAUAUCAGGAGGAACACCGGUGGCGAAGGCGGGUCUCUGGGCCACAACUGACGCUGAGGAGCGAAAGCGUGGGGAGCGAACAGG
RNAcentral lists this ribosomal RNA (253 nucleotides) under uncultured bacterium. RNAcentral's name for it is "partial 16S ribosomal RNA". It matches the Rfam family "Bacterial small subunit ribosomal RNA", at positions 524 to 776 of the family's 1533-position model. The record is from RNAcentral.